RNAcentral lists this transfer RNA (69 nucleotides) under Lactobacillus delbrueckii subsp. allosunkii. RNAcentral's name for it is "Lactobacillus delbrueckii subsp. sunkii tRNA-Met". It matches the Rfam family "tRNA", at positions 5 to 66 of the family's 71-position model. From Rfam's summary of the family: Transfer RNA (tRNA) molecules are approximately 80 nucleotides in length. Their secondary structure includes four short double-helical elements and three loops (D, anti-codon, and T loops). The record is from RNAcentral. Lineage: Bacteria; Bacillati; Bacillota; Bacilli; Lactobacillales; Lactobacillaceae.
CGGGAUGGAGCAGUCUGGUAGCUCGUCGGGCUCAUAACCCGAAGGUCGUUGGUUCAAAUCCAGCUCCAG